RNAcentral lists this long non-coding RNA (2633 nucleotides) under Haliotis rubra (blacklip abalone). RNAcentral's name for it is "uncharacterized LOC124273909". Lineage: Eukaryota; Metazoa; Mollusca; Gastropoda; Lepetellida; Haliotidae. The record is from RNAcentral.
CCAGUCCUUGUUGUACCCAUUAAUGCCGAGCGCCAGGCAGGGACCAACAAGUACCAUAUUUUAACGUCUUAUGACGCGGUCGGGGACAUGGAGAGAAAAUAGUCAUAGCAUGUCCAUUAACAUACAAAAUCGCAUUGCUCUCUCUCCAUCUCUGCUAUAUUUUGAAUAAUGCUUUUGUUAUAUGAUGUUAUUAACAUUUCAAAUGGAUGUGAUGUCAUUGGUCUUGAUUAGUUGAUAAGUCAAACUGACAUAAUCAUGAUAUUGGGGUGUGAUAUCUCUCAUACACUGGGGCCAGUGCAGCUUAGACCUAUGUGGUUGUCGGAGGUAACAAUGAAUUGGGUAGUCAGGUUGUCAAGUCUUACCAUGUCUUUAGAUUUACCCAUCUUAGCUUAGCUAAACCAAGGUUUCCAAGUGGUGUGAGCCAAUCAAACAUGCUGUUUCAUCUAUGCAUACUGCAAAGCUCCUGACAGGGACAGCUAUGAAAGUGGCACACUGUGAUGUGGAGCCUGCUCUAAAACAUAUCAGUCAGGUUUAUUGUCUCAGUGCAAACAAGCUUGCAAGUGACUUUCAUUGACAGAUGAUUUGUCAUACUUUGUUUAAUGUGGGUGUAUUGCUUACGAUAUAAGGUUAUAUUGUAAUUAGAAUCAUGCACCAAAUUGCUGCCCACACUUGAUCAUCCUUGUGUCAUGACUGUUCUGUAUGUGGCAAUACCACACUAAAAAUAACACUGCCUCAAUCAGGGCAAGUUUUGAUAUGGAGAAGUCAUGGGAAUCUGUUCAUAUAUUUUCAUAAUCAACAAAUUUGACAGAUUUGAGUACUAAAAAAUGUCAUCUUGAGAUAAUAUUUGUGUAUAAAUAUGCAUCAUGACCUAUAUACACGUCAGUUUUACUUGUGAAUGUAUGCUCAAAAUAGCCAGUAAGUCAAGCAUCACAAAAGUAACACGAAGACAAAAAGAGUUUUUAUUCUGGUUUGUAACAAGUUCCAGAUAUUAUCCAGGUUGGUAGUUAAUGUUUCUUGAUGGUAUGGCUGUUUUUGUUUGUUUUUAUGAAGAAAAACAACAAAAACCAACACCCCAGCUCUCACUUGGCCAACAGGGCCCCGGGAGAACACCAGCCUCCUAAGGGAAUGCUCUAAUACCAUGACAACUGUUGUAUUCAACAGAAAACAAUGGCUUCCUUAACUAUUCCAGAUGAAUGUUUGUUGAUUUUGGAUGUGAGCUCGAUGUAAUUGUAUGUUGCAUAACCUGUUUAUUGUUAUUAACAUGAAUAACAUUAUAUUUUGUAAUUUGUUAUGUAUUAAGUAAUUGCCUGAAGGACGAUCAAUCAUAAAUUUACAAGUGAGAUGAUCAAAUAUUUGAGUUAAGUCAUUUUCAUAAUUGUUAAUAUUUUCAAGGGUCACAGCUACUCGCUUUCAUUUUGUUUUUGAUUCAAAAUACGGUUAUCAGCAGGAAAAAGCUGUGAAAGGCUGGAAUCUACUUUUAACUCAUUUUACUGUUCAAAAUAUUUGGGACAAAAGAUAAUGUUCCAUUACAAUGGAUGCUAUAUGUCUAGCAAGUACAGCCAUGGAUGUCAUGUUUCUUCAGACAGAGGCCUACAUUGACAAUGACUGUAUAAACAUGGUGAUAUACUACCCAGGUUUAGGUCAUGGACUUUGAGUGCAGUGUAAGGUCUUGGACUCAAAUCAAAUGGCAGACUACUCGUUGUGUCGUUUUGUGAUUUAUUUUGGAACUGGGUUACUUUUGCCAUUGUUUAUUUGUUUACAUUGUGUAUAUGUUAAAUUCAGUCUCCUCAGCUGGUUAACCAACAUCUGGAUAUAUUUCCAACCCGCAUCCUCACCCUAGCGCCCUAGUGUUAUCCGACAUCAACUCGGACAUGUAGACAGAAGUCGCAGUGUGAAAAACUAACGCAUUCAUCGUUUUAGCUGUAUUGCAGAAAGUGGCUUUGACCAUGACCUUGCCUUGUGUGACACUUAAUGUGACCAUGAACUUUGCAUAUUUCCCUUCGAAAGGGCAGUGGACACCAAACGAUCGCAGAUACACAUAAUUAGAACGAACAUCUGUGAUAUAUUUGACCUUGUGUGAGACUGAUGUGACCUUGAACCUUUUAUGCAAAUUGAAGGGCAAUAGAAACGGCAGCAAAAAACACAACCGGAGAUAUGCAUGAUAAAAACUAUCACCUGUGAUACACUCAUUGAUGGAGUUCUAUUGAUGAUACCAGUUGGGCGCUUCUUUGUAUUUGAUGAUUUUGUGAGGUGCAUAAUGUUAGAGUUGCAACUGUUGCGGUAACAAACAAUAUACAGAGUAUCCCAUGCUGCUGCGAGUGAAUUAGGGUUAUCAAAUAAUCGUGCGCUUUACAAAAGAAAUCUGUUUCUUACUCAUGAAAAUGGCAGGCAGUGAAUGUCAAGGCCAUGAGGCCAUAUCUGUAAGAUAAAGCUUUGUUUUAUUUGUUAUGGUUUUGCAGCUUGUUUCAGGUAUUGACUGCUUAACCUUGACUAGUGGUUUGCUGGUGUUGUGUUCAGACCAGCUAUGUCCGCUGUGCUCAAACAUUUCCAUAAGGACAUAUCAGUCAUUUGUUAUGUUUUUGUAUAUUUAUUGAAUAAAACCAGAGACCAUAUUGGUCUCUUAUAAUACUCAA